GGCUUCGUAGCUCAACUGGUAGAGCAUUUGAGCAUGUUGUUUCUGUCGCUGGUUGGAAUCCGGCCGAAGUCC
Molecule: non-coding RNA, 72 nt
Organism: Paragonimus kellicotti
Lineage: Eukaryota; Metazoa; Platyhelminthes; Trematoda; Plagiorchiida; Troglotrematidae
Source: the annotation of a GenBank genome assembly